Molecule: non-coding RNA, 368 nt
Organism: Dipodomys spectabilis (banner-tailed kangaroo rat)
Lineage: Eukaryota; Metazoa; Chordata; Mammalia; Rodentia; Heteromyidae
Source: the annotation of a RefSeq genome assembly
ACAGCUUGGACAUGAAGGCCCCUGCUCAGCUCCUGGGGUUCCUGCUGCUCUGGCUCCCAGGUGCCAGAUAUGACAUCAAAUUGACCCAGUCACCAUCCCUGUCUGCAUCUGUUACAGACAGAGUUUCCAUCACUUGCAGGGCCAGUCAGGGCAUUAGAAAUGAUUUCCAUUGGUACCAGCAGAGAGCAGGGAAUGCUCCAAAGCUCCUGAACCAUUAUACAACUAGUUGGGAUUCUGGGGUCCCCUCAAGGUUCAGUGGGAGUCAAUCUGGGACAGAGUUCAUUCUCACCAUCAGCAGCCUGCAGCUAGAAGAUGUUGCCACUUAUUACUGUCAGCAGACUAAUAGUUACCUUCCAGAAGUUAUAUAA